RNAcentral lists this ribosomal RNA (272 nucleotides) under Felis catus (domestic cat). RNAcentral describes it as "partial 16S ribosomal RNA". It matches the Rfam family "Bacterial large subunit ribosomal RNA", at positions 1797 to 2125 of the family's 2925-position model. Lineage: Eukaryota; Metazoa; Chordata; Mammalia; Carnivora; Felidae. The record is from RNAcentral.
CGCCUGUUUACCAAAAACAUCACCUCUAGCAUUUCCAGUAUGAGAGGCACUGCCUGCCCGGUGACGCUAGUUAAACGGCCGCGGUAUCCUGACCGUGCAAAGGUAGCAUAAUCAUUUGUUCCCUAAAUAGGGACUUGUAUGAACGGCCACACGAGGGCUUUACUGUCUCUUACUUCCAAUCCGUGAAAUUGACCUUCCCGUGAAGAGGCGGGAAUAUAAUAAUAAGACGAGAAGACCCUAUGGAGCUUUAAUUAACCGACCCAAAGAGACCA